AAGCUAACGCGUUAAGUGUUCCGCCUGGGGAGUACGGUCGCAAGAUUAAAAACUCAAAGAAAUUGACGGGGGGCCCGCACAAGCGGUGGAGCAUGUGGUUUAAUUCGACGCAACGCGAAAAACCUUACCUGGGUUUGACAUCCUCUGAUCAUUAUAGAAAUAUAAUCUUUCCGUAAGGAACAGAGAGACAGGUGCUGCAUGGCUGUCGUCAGCUCGUGUCGUGAGAUGUUGGGUUAAGUCCCGCAACGAGCGCAACCCUUAUCUUUAGUUGCCAUCAUUAAGUUGGGCACUCUAGAGAAACUGCCGGUGAUAAAUCGGAUGAAGGUGGGGAUGACGUCAAAGUCCUCAUGGCCUUUAUAUCCAGGGCUACACACGUGCUACAAUGGUUUGGACAAAGAGACGCAAGUUUGCGAAAACAAGCAAAUCUCAUAAACCAAAUCUCAGUUCGGAUUGAAGUCUGCAACUCGACUUCAUGAAGUCGGAAUCGCUAGUAAUCG
RNAcentral lists this ribosomal RNA (497 nucleotides) under uncultured bacterium. RNAcentral's name for it is "bacterial SSU rRNA". It matches the Rfam family "Bacterial small subunit ribosomal RNA", at positions 849 to 1344 of the family's 1533-position model. The record is from RNAcentral.